Molecule: microRNA precursor, 219 nt
Filed under: Arabidopsis lyrata subsp. lyrata
Lineage: Eukaryota; Viridiplantae; Streptophyta; Magnoliopsida; Brassicales; Brassicaceae
Description: pre miRNA MIR854
Rfam family: MIR854 microRNA precursor family
Source: Rfam by way of RNAcentral
UUGAUGAAGACAAGGAAGAGGAGUAUGAUACAAGUAUGUAUCAUUUUAGUGAGCAUGUAGCUCCAGCGAGGGAGAGUAAGAGCUUGAGUAAAGCUCACAGAAACCAAAGCCUGUUGCAGAAGUGGUGCAAGAAGCAGGAUAAGUUCAUCUCCAAAUGGAUAAAUAGUAUAAAUUCGUUGAAGGCAAUGGUUAGCUUCUCCUCAUCUUGCAGAACCUCCU